UGGCGGACGGGUGAGUAACGCGUGGAUAACCUGCCGUAUACUGGGGGAUAACACUUAGAAAUAGGUGCUAAUACCGCAUAAGCGCACAGUCUCGCAUGAGACGGUGUGAAAAACUCCGGUGGUAUACGAUGGAUCCGCGUCUGAUUAGCUUGUUGGCGGGGUAACAGCCUACCAAGGCGACGAUCAGUAGUCGGCCUGAGAGGGUGAACGGCCACAUUGGGACUGAGACACGGCCCAAACUCCUACGGGAGGCAGCAG
This 258-nucleotide ribosomal RNA is filed under the name uncultured bacterium. RNAcentral describes it as "partial 16S ribosomal RNA". It matches the Rfam family "Bacterial small subunit ribosomal RNA", at positions 96 to 354 of the family's 1533-position model. The record is from RNAcentral.